CGGGACACACCUUCGGAUAACACCAUCCGUGCAGAUCUUGAACAAGUACGGCUCAUCCCAAUAGAAUUCCAAACUAUCCUGUUUGAGCUUCUUCCUUUGGUUAGAAGAUAGCUUACACGAGAUUAUACCAGUCACAAGGAAAUUAGCAAUAUAUUCAAACCAUGGCACACCAUUCACCGACACAGAAAGGAGUUCCUCAUCGAGAAAUGCAUCAUUGAUCUCUAGGCCAUCACGAGGACUUCCCUCCUCCUCCAAGUAGGAAAAAUGGUCUGCCACUUGGUUUUCACUACCCUUUCGGUCCAUAAUCUCCAAGUCAAACUCUUGAAGUAACAAGACCCAUUGCAUCAGCCUAGCUUUGGAAUCCUUCUUCGUCAACAAGUACCGGAAUGCGUCAUGAUCGGUAUGAACUAUGACCUUGGCACCCAUGAGAUACAUUCGAAAUUUCUCCAUUGCGAACACAAUAUCCAAAAGCUCUUUUUCAGUCACCGUGUAGUUCACUUGAGCAUCAUUCAUUGUCUUGCUCACGUAGUAUACCGAAUGAAACAUUUUGUUCACUCUUUGACCCAAAAUCGCCCCAACCGCAACAUCACUCGCGUCACACAUAAGCUCGAAAGGCAAGCUUCAAUUAGGUGCGAUAAUAAUAGGAGUGGUAGUCAACUUAUGCUUGGGAAGUUAAAAGACUUACAUACAUCCCUCAUUGAACACGAACUUGGCAUCUUUUCCCAAUAACUUGCACAAGGGAUUCACUACCUUCGAAAAAUCCUUUAUAAAUCUCCGGUAGAACCGCGCAUGCCUAAGAAAACUUCUAACUCCCUUUACUGAAGUAAGGGAAGAGAGCCUUGAAAUCACUUCAAUUUUUGCUUUGUCCACAUCUAUACCAUGCUUUGAAAUUUUAUGGCCAAGGACUAUGCCCUCCUCAACCAUGAAGUGGAAUUUCUCCCAAUUAAGCACAAGAUUGGUUUCUUCACAAUGGGCCAACAAUCUAUCAAGAUUUUUCAAACAUUCAUCAAACGAGUCACCUACAACACUGAAGUUGUCCAUGAACACCUCCAAAAUUUCCUUCACCAUGUCGGUAAAAGUAGCCAUGAUAGACCGCUGAAAUGUAGCCGGUGCAUUACACAACCCAAACGGCAUCCUAGAAAAGGCAAAGGUCCCAUAUGGACAAGUGAAGGUGGUCUUCUCCUGAUCUUCCGAAGCAAUCAAAAUUUGGUUGUACCCAAAAUACCUAUCCAAGAAACAGUAGAAGGCACGCCCAACAAGUCUGUCUAGCAUCUGAUCAAGAAAAGGCAAUGGGAAGUCUUCCUAUUAUCAAGAUCCAAAGAGAGUUUCUGAGGCUCAUAAGAGUAAGAGCCCAUUCCAUGUAAAGCAUUGACACACUCUACUCGGCCUUCAUUCUCAUUUACAUCAAGAUUCAACAAUACCACCUCAAGAGGGUCCUCCACAUUGAUCAUUGCACUAGUAUCAUCAACUAUCACUACCGUGACAAGAUCCACAAAAAAGCACACUUCAGAACUGUUGGGCUGCUUCAUUGACUUGCAUACAUGAAAGACCACUUUCUCAUCACCCACCCAGAAGUUGAUUUCCCCUGCUUCCACAUCAACUAAGGCCUUUGCAGUAGCAAGGAAAGGUCUUCCCAAUAUGAUCAGAACUUCAUAAUCUACCUCACAAUCCAAGAUCACAAAAUCAAUCAGCAAGAUAUAUUUGUCCACCCAGACAAGAACAUCAUCAAUUAUACCCAAAGGUCUCUUCAUUGUUCUAUCCGACAUUUACAAUCUCAUGGAAGUCGGCCUUGGUUGCCUAAUACCCAAAGUCUUGAAAACAGAGUAGGGCAUCAAAUUGAUACUUUCCCCCAAAUUACAUAGAGCUUUUUCAAAAUCUGCACUCCCAAUGGUGUAAGGGAUGAUGAAAGCACCGGGGUCUUCUAGCUUUGGAGCCAUUGAGUGUACUAUUGCACUAACUUGGUAGGUCAUCCUGAUAGUCUCACAAUCCAUGUAUCUUUUCUUUGUCACAAAAUCUUUCAUGAAUUUAGCAUAACCCUGCAUUUGCUCUAGAGCCUCCACCAAAGGCACAUUGAUGGACAAGCUCUUCAUCAUAUCAAUAAACUUCUUAAACUGGUUCUCAUUUUUCUGCUUCGCGAGCCUUUGAGGAUAAUGUGGAGGUGGCCUUGGAAAAGGAGCCUAGGCUUUAGGCAUAACUAUUUCCGGCAUGUCUAUUACGUGUUCCCUAGAUGGGUUCACGUCAUUUUGAGUUUCCACCUCAGCAUCUUGGAUAUCAAUCCUCACUUCCUCAUUCACCUUUUUAUCAAUCACAUUUUCAACCACCAAAGGGAUCUCAUCCUCUUGCAACUCAACUUCAUCACUCAAAAUUUCUUGUUGUUUGGAGGCAUUCACAUCACCGCCUCGUCCACUUCUUGUAGUUACUGCCAUUACAUGUUCGGAAUUGUUCCCACCCUUCGGGUUUACUACCCUAUCACUAGGUAGAGCCCCCUUAGGGCGAGUAUUCAAGGAUUGAGAGAUUUGGCCUAAUUGAACCUCCAAAUUUUUGAUUGAAGUAUUGUGGGAUGCCAACUGGCAUUAGAGUCAGCAUUAUUUUUCAUAAUCUAUCCAAACAUCAUUUCAAUUCUCCCCAUUUCAUUGUUAGACGAACUAGGACAUUGGGAUAGAAAUGGGGGUAGAUUGUUCGGUUGUUGAUACAUUGGGAGCCUUUGAAAGCCUUGCCCCUGAUUUCCAUUGUUCCAACCACCCUGAUUGUUAUUUCCACCCUAGUUAUUGUUGUUGCCAUUCCAAUUACCCUGAUUGUUCUGAUUGCCCCAAUUUGCAUUUUGGUUGUUGUUCCCCUAAUUACUAUUCCCUUGUUGUUGAUUUCCCCAAUUGCCUUGGUGUCUCCAUUGUUAUUGGUUGGAAGAAUUGCCCCUUUGGCCUUGAUAAUUGUUCACAUAUUGCACUUCUUCAUUUUGCUCAUCAUAACCAUCAUCUUGGAAUUCAUCACUAUCAUUGUCAUAUUGAUCUGAACUCCCUUGGUUCCGUUGACCUCUUUGUCUUCUUUUGUUCACUAACAUGUUGACACCCUCCAUAGCAUUUACCUGUCGUUGAUUUUGAACCUGCUGUAACUGUGCAUUUGCUAGCUGGUUCAUUGUUGUUGUCAGCUAUGCUAUUGCCUACCCAUGAUCAUAGAGCUCUUUGUGCAAGUGAGUGACCGUGGGGUCACCCUAUGGCAUAUUGGCUCUACUUCGCCAAACGGAGGACGUAUCAGCCAUCUCAUUAAGAAUGUCACAAGCCUCAUCUCAAGGCAGCUUCAUGAAAUUACUCCCGGUAAGUUGGUUCACUAUGCACUGAUUUUUUGUGUUAAUGCCCCGGUAGAAUGUCUGUUGUAUCAUUGCCUCAAUCAUAUCAUUGUUGGGACAUUCCUUUACCAUGGUUCGGUAUCUCUCCCAUAUCUCAUGUAAUGGUUAGUAAGGCUCCUGCUUGAAAGCUAAGAUCUCAUCCCUCAAUGGUGCCAUAUGUCUCGGCGUUAUCUUCCAACUCAUCCCAAGUAGUGAUGGAAUGGUUGGGAAGCCUUUCAAGACAGUCCAAAACCUUCACUCUAAGUGAGAAAGGGAAUAAUCUCAACCGAAGUACAUCCUCGGACACAUUUGUUUGCUUGCUCCCCCAACAGGUAUCCACGAAACCCUUAAGAUGUUUGUAAGCAUUUUGAUGGGGAGCACCUGUGAAAUACCCUCGCUACUCUAACAAUGUUAGCAUCACAUUUGUAUUUGAAAAUUGCCCGCCCGGAUCCGGGGUGGGACAAUUGCACUAGCAUAUCCUUGGUUGGGAAGCACUCAAGGAUCCACUCUUGGAGGUGGCGGGGUAGGGUCUAGAACAUUAUCAUUGGCCUGGUGGCCUCUCCUUUGUCCUUGAGGUACUAUAGGAACCCAUCAUCAAUAUUGUCAUCUACCUCCUACCCCGCUAGUGAUCAGGUCCAGCCCUACACCACUACAAAGUGGCAAGAGCGGUUGAUGCAACUUUUACCUGAGAUGGUCGGGAUUGAAUCCACAGGGAGCUAGAAUUGGGAAUUGGAUUCCUAUCUAAAUUAGAAAUGCGCAGUGCUCUUAAUUAUACUUCUAAUCAUAAUUGUUCGUUUGUUACUUCUAAUUUUAUACUAAUUAAGANNNNNNNNNNNNNNNNNNNNNNNNNNNNNNNNNNNNNNNNNNNNNNNNNNNNNNNNNNNNNNNNNNNNNNNNNNNNNNAUCUAAAGCCUAAGGCAAAGAUGUUAUGUUGGGGAUUGCGAUAUAGUCAAUGCUCGGAAUUACUCACUCUAUACCUCUUGGUAGCUUGAGUGACUUUGACCUAAUUGACUUUCUCAAGACCAUUUGGGUGUCAAAAUUGUGCAAGCAAUAUAGGCUCAAGCUAGGUAUUACUAUCUCUAGGUUUAACCUUUUAAUUAAGGCUAUCAAUCUCUUGAUUACACCCCAAUCCCUUGUUGAACUGAUUUUCCUAUACUCAAGCUCUCUUUCUCAAGAAGAACCCAAAUCAAAUAGGCACAAAUUCGUAUUUGCAAAACUAAUUCAACAUGGAAAAUAAAAAUCAGUCUAAAUAUCAACUACCCAUAAACAUCUAAGACUUAAAACAAAAGACCCAUCAAAUACCCACACUAGGGUUGAGCCACAACCCUAGAUAGUGGGUCUAGCUAUUCAUAAUAAUGGAAGAAAAUAGAGAUAUAAAAGAAGAAUAACCCAUAUAAUUUGAUUACAAACUAAGAUAAUGAGGAUUCAGUGUUAAACUAGUUACAAAUUACUCAAAAUGGAACAAAACCGCCGUUCACGUGCUCUAGAGUCUUGCAGAUUACAAAAGAUACCUAAAAAUGUAAAAAGAAAGUAUUUAUACUAAGCCAAAUUUUCUGGACAAAAAUACCCCUGACGGAGGUACUGCGGUCUGCAUAAAAUGCACCGCGGACUACGAUGAGGCUUUUUGGCUUGACUUUCCAUUUUCUGAAUCUGGCCACCGCGAGCCGCAUAAAAUGCACCGCAGCUGUGGUGGCUUCACUGCGGUCCGCAUAAAAUGGACCACGGACCGCAAAGGGUUUGAUCUUCAAAACUUCCAACUCUCUGAAUCCCCCUCUUCGCGGAUCGCAUAAAAUGGAUUGUGGCCGCGAAGAGGCUUUUGCGACCGCGAGAAAUCCUCCGCGGACCGCACUGCUUUAAGCUCCAAACGUGCACCUCUCUGAACUUUAUCCACCACAGACCACACUAAAUGGUCUGCAGCUGCGGUGGGUCUGUUGCAGCUAUAAUUGAUUUUAUUCAACUGCAGUGCCUUGACUUGUUCUUGGUACUUAUGCAUGUUUCACUCCUUUUUGAGCUGGUUUUGACUACUUGUCACCUUUUUGACCAAACCCUACAAAUAAGUACAACAUGUAAGACUUUGGGACUAUUUGUAUGCAUUUUUAAUCAAAACUCAAGUAAAAGAAGUGUAAUAUGAACUAGAAUCCCUAGUUAUCAGCUCCACUCAGCGUUUUACUUGCGUGGUAUAUUAGAUGCAUGGUUUUAUCUUUUUGCUGCCCAAGAAAUGCUCCCACAACAUAGUCACUCUCAUCACACAUCAACUCAAAUGAUUGCUCUCAGUCGGGGGCAACUAUGAUAGGUGUUGUUAUUAGAAUCUUCUUUAAUUCCUCAAAAGCUACCCUGCAGCCAUCAGAAAACACAAAAGGAUGAUCUUUUUCAAGCAAUUUACAUAAGGGAUUAGCAAUUUUGGAAAAAUCUUUUAUAAAUCUCCUAUAAAAAUUAGCGUGCCCAAGGAACCUUCUGAUUGCUUUGAAAUAAAAGGGUGGUGGAAGCUUUUCUAUCACAUAAACCUUUGCACAAUCCACCUCAAUACCUUUACUUGACACUAAGUGCCCCAAUACUAUACCUUUAUGUACCAUGAAAGGGUACUUUUCCCAAUUGAGUACCAGAUUAGUCUCGAUACACCUUUCCAAAACCCUUCUCAAGUUCACAAGGCAAUCAUCGAAUAAGUUCCCCACCACUGAUAAGUCAUCUAUGAAAACCUCCAUUAUCGCUUCUACCAUAUUUGUAAAGAUGGCCAUCAUGCACCUUUGGAAUGUGGAGGGUGCAUUGCAUAGGCCAAACAGCAUUCGUCGAAAAGCAUAGAUUCCAUAAGGGCAAGUGAACAAUGCUUUCUCUCUAUCCUCCAGGGCAAUAGAAAUCUGACUAUACCCCGAGUACCCAUCCAAAAAGCAAAAGUGAGACCUCUCUGCCAAUCUAUCUAGCAUCCGAUCAAUGAAUGGCAGUGGGAAAUGGUCCUUCCUGGUAGCCAAGUUCAACUUCCUGUAAUCCAUACAGAUUCGCCAACCUGUGACUGUUCGUGUAGAGAUCAAUUCGUUCUUCUCAUUUUUUACUACCGUCAUAUAUCCCUUUUUUGGUACACACUGAACUGGGCUAACCGAGUUGCUGUCAAAGAUGGGGAAUAUGAUUCCCGCAUCUAACCACUUGACCACUUCUUUCUUCUUGGGGUUCAGCUUUCUUUGAUGUUCUCUGGAAGGUUUGUGCCCAUCUUCCAGUAAAAUCUUAUGUAUAAAGAAGGCCGGGAUGAUCCCCUUAAUGUCUGCAAUGGUCCACCCAAUUGCAGUCAUGCACUCAAUCAGUACCUGCAAAAACUAUUCUGCGUGCACAUCUAAUAAACUGGAUGAGAUAAUAAUAGGUAGAGUUGAGUUAGGUCCUAAGAAUGCAUAUCUGAGAUAAGAUGGCAGUGGUUUUAAUUCCAACUUUAGUGGCUCUUCUAUUGAUGGCUUAGCUUGAGGAGUUUUUCUUUCCUCUAAGUGCCAGGGCUCAAAUUCGAGUUCCCUUCUCUAAAACCCUUGCUCUUCAAGAAAAAGUACCCACUCUGCUAAAUCUUCACCAUUCGCUUCAUCUAAGUUCAUGAGACAGGCUGCUAAAGGGUCUUUAAUGUUCAAUGCCUCAUCUUCCUCCUCCAAAACUACAUCCACCACAUCUAUUAGAAUAAUUAGCAAAUUCACUUGGUCUCCACAUAGAUUUAUGCACGUUGAAUGUUAUCUCUUCAUCGUUUAAUCUCAUCUUGAGCUCUCCAAUUUCACAAUAAAUUAAAGCUCUCCCAGUAGCCAAGAAUGGUCUUCCCAAAAUUAUGGGAAUUUCCUCGUCAACCCGACAAUCGAGGAUGACAAAAUCUGCCGGGAACACAAACUUCCCAACCUGUACCAAUACAUCAUCUAGAAUCCCAGAGGGCCUCUUCACUGUACGAUCAGCCUGCUGUAGUAACAUAGACGUGGAUUUAGCUCUUCCAAUGCCUAGCCUUUUGCAGAUAGCCAGGGGCAUAAGGUUUAUGCUUGCUCCUAGAUCACACAGUGCCCUAGCAAAUGCAAAGUUGCCUAUGGUGCAAGGGAUUAUGAAACUCCCUAGGUCAAACAGCUUUUCAGCUAUGGGUCUUGUCACAACAGUACUGCAAGUCUGAGUCAGAGUAACCGUGGCCAAGUAUUGAAAGUCAAACUUGUGGGACAUCUAGUCCUUCAUCAUCUUCGCAUAAACAGGCAUCUCCUUUAAGGCAUCAAUUAAUAGAAUGCUUACCUGAAUUUGCUUCAACAUCUCCAAGAAUUUCUUGUACUGCUCAUCUUUCUGAUACUUGGCCAAUCUCUAUGGGAAUGGAGUUGGAGGUCACUUCUUCCCUAUGAUUUGAUUUUUCUCUUUUUCAAACACUUCUUCUAGUGUCGGUUCUGGUGUAACCUCAGUCUCUUUCACAACCUCUUCUUUUUUAUUAGUGUUCUCUUGCGCAUGUUGUACCGUCACCUCAGUUAACCCUGCUGAAUCACCUAUCUCAAUGGGUAUUGGAACUAGUGUCUCAGUCGGUCUGCCGUCAUGAGCAAUUUCUUGCUCCUGAUCUAAGUCUAUACCAUUUCGGAAACUUAUUUCCAUUAGCUGCUUUGGGCCCUGCUUUUUUGGAUAGAUUUGGGUAUCUGCAGGUAACGUCCCAUGAGGACGAUUAUUUAGGGCCAUGGAAAUCUGUUCUAAUUGGAUCCCAAUAUUCUUUAUCGCUAACUCAUGUGAGUCUACUCUUUCAGUUAAUUUUCUAGUGGACCCAAUCACUUGUUGCAUCAUUACCUCAAGUUUAGCAAACACAUCUUCAUGUCUCACAGUCUGUUGUCGUGGAGGUUGUUGAUAAGCCUGCUGCUGAUUUUGCUGGUUGUAACCUUGUUGCCUUUGGUAAGGCACCAUUUGGCCCUGUGGUCGCAUAGCCCCAUGGUUAUUUUUGUUGUUCUACUGCUGCUGAGCUGGUCUAUAUUGUUGAUUUUGUUAACCCCAAUUUUGACCACAUGGUCUCGAUCCCCCGUAGUUGGCCACAUAAUUCAUCUUCUCCUGAUAUUAUUGGUUAUCACUUUCAGCAUUCCACGAGCAGACAUGUGGUUGAUUAAUGCAUGGUGUGCAUAAACCCCCAUUAGUUACAACAACUAUGUGUACCUGCUACUUCUGGCCUGAUUCAUCAACCUUUUUGGUGAGGAUGCUCAUUUGUGUCAAUAGAGUGGCCAUAUUUUCAGCUAUGGAGUUGGUCUGGUCUAACGCCACUAAGUGAACCACAUGAGUGAUUGGAGCGUUUCUUGUCGUCCAUCCUGAGUUUUAUAUCAUCUUGUCAAGUAGGAUCUUGCUCUCUCUAAAUGUUUUGCUAAAAAUGAUCCACCUAUUGAAGCAUCAACAUUGGCUUUCAAACUAUCUGCCAAACCCAUAUAAAAUCUCUGCCCUAACAUCUGCUCCGGAAUACCAUGAUGUGGACACGUAACGAGAAGACCCUUGAAUCUCUCCUACGUUUCUUGUAACAUCUCUGUUGGUUUCUGUUUGAAGCUCAAUAUCUCAUCAAUUCGCUGAGCAGUCUUGUUGGGUAGGUGAAAUUUGUUCACAAAUUGCUUGACUAAUUCCUCCCAAGUAGUGAUGGAUUUUGUGGGGAGUGAAUUAAGCCAAGUCUGAGCUGCUCCUGUCACUGAGAAUGGAAACAACAACAGACGUAUUGCUUCCGGUGUCACGUUAUGUUGCCUCUAUGUGGCAUAGAUUGACAGGAAAUUCUUUAGAUGCUACUGAGGAUCUUCAACGUAUAACCUAGAGAACAAUCAUUUGUUCUGCAACAAAUGUAGCAUGUUAUUUAUGAUCUUGAAUGAAUCUCCUUGUAUCCGAAGGACUAUAAUGGCAGUUGCUAAGUUGUCACUGGUGGGUUGUGCCCAAUCAUAUAGUGCUUCUUCUGGCACAAGGGGUACACACCCUGAUCAUUUAGGUCAUUCACGUUGUGUGUAUUGUUUGGAUUAUCGUCUUCCAUGUCUGGUUCAAUUUGUUCAGUUGAGUUCUAUUGUUGUUUGCCUUUCCUGUUUGCUCGAUUCAAUGCCUUGAAAACUUUCUCAGGAUCUGAUAAUGUUUCAAACAAUUCACCAGUUCUUGAGGAGUUUCUAGCAUGCACCUGUAACAACCUUGACAACAAACGUUAGAAUUUCAAUGAUCAGUUUAAAUUGAAGAAAAUUGACUACACUAAGAAUUUUUACACUUCUUUUCACUGCAAUUAAUAACACCGUUAAUUCCCCAGCAAUGGCGCCAAAAUUUGAUAAUGCCCAACCAUGCCUUAUAAAAAGGACAAAGCGGUCACCGCAAAUAUAUUUUAGUUAACAAGUCCGGAGUCGAAUCCCAUAGGGAAUUAACCUAUCAAUCACAGCUAUUAGAAAUUCAAGUAUUCAAUCUUCAGAGAUAUUUGAGUAACAAAUUGGAUGUUUAAUAACUAAAUAUUACGUAAUAAAAAUGCAGUAACUAAGAACUAGCUAUAAACGGUUUGAAUGCAAGAAUGGGAAUGUUCUAAGGUUCUAACUUCCCCUAUUGUCGGAAUCCUUUCCGCUAUGUUUGCUAUAAAUUUGCCUAAGUCUUCUCUAUCGAUCAUGAGCACUCUAACUGUCGUAACUCUCUCUCGAGUAAUUACAACAAUAUACUAGACAUAUUCUCCCGACUAGCUAUCUUUACGUACAACUUACUUAGAUCGCACCCAAGGUUUCGUUAUCCCUAAUCUCACCUUUAAACAUUUCGUAUUGAUCCCUCAUAUACGUUAGGAGUGAUGAUGUUCAACAACUACCUAAAUAUGCACUCUCUCCUGAGUAAUGCACACUAAAUAUGAACCGCUAAUUGAGGGCCUUUCAAUCAAUAGCAAUAAACAUAUAGUUGAACAAAUAGAGAUAAUACUAUGGCAAAUCUAUAUUAACAUAACGAGAAAAUCAUCCUUCAACAGGUUCCAUCAAAACCCUAGAUUAUGAGUUUUGCUACUCAUACUCAUAGUACGAAUAUCCAAAGUAAUUUGCAUAAUUAAAUUACAGAGUAAGGAUAAAGAGAUUUAGAAAUCAAUGAAUCCAACUCCCAAGUAGUGUUCCACGAGCUAUUCUUGCCUUCAGUUGCAAAAGUCCUUAAAAGUGGCAUUUUUGGGUCUAUUUAUAUGUUUGGGACAAGCCCUAAACGUGUAGGUUAACUUCUAGUCAAACCGUAAAACACUUAAAAUCUUCAAAACUUAGAUUGGGCCUGGCCUUAGGCCUGGCGUUACCUAGAUAACGCCAGUCUAGGCCUGGCUUUAAACUGGCCUCGCCUGGAUAAUGCCAGCCUAGGCCUGACUUUAAGCUGGCCUCACCAGGAUAAAGCCUGAUUAGGCCUGGCUUUGAGCUGGACUCACCUGGAUAAAGCUUGGUUAGGCUUGGCUUUAAGCUGGCCUCACUUGGAUAAAGCCUGGUCGAGCUGGCUUUUGCUCGGCUUCUCCUUUUUACCGUUCUCGAGCGCAGUUUCGAUGUUUAAGCAUUCCUUUAGAUCUACUUUUAUUUCUGAUGCACCUACACAUAAAAUAACCUCCAUUACGCUCAAACAAAGUAUAUUUUAACAUUAAAGCAUGUAAAACGCAAAUCAUAUAAUGUGCAAAAACCAUGAAUUAUAGCCACACAUCAAUAUACUAAUAUAAUAUUGUUUACCUCGAAAAUACGAGUAACAAUUAAAUUUGAUUUGUGGUUUUAAAGAUAUGUGAUCUAGUUCAAUACUAAUUAAUAAUCAAGAAAUCUGAAGUAUAGAUGAAAGAAAUAAGUAAGAUCAAACCAAUAGAUGAGUUAGUCUCAACCUCGAGCCUAACUAACCUCGAGAUUAGUCAAGAACAAUAAAGCAAAAUCAAUAAAGCUAAAGGACAAUUCUGAUGAACAAUGAGCGAGAAAAGUAGGAAAGUGUAUUCUUUGCCAAUGAUUAGAUGAUGGUUACAAAUGAUUGGGGCCCCUUUAUAUAAUAGAGGAACCCUAAAUAAGGUACAUUUCUAUUUACAGUAAGGAAUCUUAUUGUGACGGCUGUCUAACCGUCUAGUACGGAUUAGUACUAACUCGUACAAAUCUAUUUCGGAAUUUAUGCCAUGAUCUUAGGGACGUGGCAGGAAUCUUGCUCAUACUGUUACAAACUCGUAACAGCAUUAUCUCGAGGCCAGUCACGUUUAACCUUGAUGUUCAUCGGACACUUUGAUCUUCGAAGCCUCCUAUCGAGCUCGCUCCUGGUCUAUUUUGAUCUCGCUCUUGAAGUGACCCUCGAGCUCACGAAAUCGGGUAGCCCCAAUUUCUACUGUAUACAGAUAGUCCCCGCGUUUUUUAGAGUAUAACGACAAGAAACAAAUUGAGUCAUUGAAUUUUACCCCGAUUUGCCACAACAUCAUCAUCGUAACGCAAGCGACUGAUGCUUUCUGAUCUUUUUCCUUUGCCUAAUUACAUCAUAAUUAGGUACUUUGUAGGUACUUUCAGCAUAAAAUAGCCUCGGAAAAUAUUGAAAUUGCACAAGAGCCUGCUCCACAUAAUGUGGAAGAGGAGUAUUUUGAUCAGACCAGAUUCACAGCUGCUGAAUGUGAAAGAAACUAUGACAAACUCAUGUCAAAGAGCAUCGUCAAAGAAAGGGGCAUCCAUUUAGACAAACUUAAGGCUAAGAUGGCGGAUCUUUUCCGAAGAUUAACUGACAGUGGAUGGAUGUGCUUUCCUCCUGAACCAUUUAAAGCGAACUACAUAGUAGUUCGUAAGUUCUAUGCCAAUGCCUUGAAGACAGAUUUCCAAGGGGAAAUAUUUACCUUUAUUAGGGGCAAGCGGGUCAACUUUGGUCCCGACGUAAUAAAUUCACAUUAUAUGCUUCCCAAAUGAUGACAAUGAGGUAUACAGAGCCAGAGCAAGGGAGAUAGAAAGCCAAUGGUUGGUGGAGAAGCUUCAUGAAGGGGUAAAACCGCUUGGAAAAGAUUACAUAAAGGGGUUGAUUCUUCUGAAUUCACAGCUGAAGCCAAGACUUGGCUGUCCAUUAUUUGUGCCAGAAUCGUGCCGACUAGAUGUAGACAUGCAAUAUUUGACCCUCCCCGAGAUUUUACACAUUUUAGCUUUUAAAUAUUUAGUUUAGGUCUAAUAUCGCUAUUUUAAUUAGUUUUGACUCUUUUACUUUAUUUUACUACAAUGAUGAAAAGUACAAAAAUAUUUUCUUUUAUUUAGAUAAUUGUUAUUUUAUCUAGUUACUUUUAGUUAAUCUACCUUUCAUAAAAUUAAAAAAAGAAUACAAAAAUAGUAUUGAUAUUUAUUUUUCCAAAAAAGGAUAAGAAGAAAUAUUUAGGACUAAUUUUGUCUUGUUUUUUUAUGUGAGAAGACUAUUAUUUUGAGCUUGACUUAGCCCAAAAGAGGCCCAAAUCCAGCCAAGCCCAAAUCCCUAACCCUUACAUCCUAGCCUUUUCUUUAUUUUAAUCCAAUGGUCCAUAUUCCCCUAUACCCCCAUAUAAACUCUAUCGUCCACAAAAAUGACCUAACCGUAGAACCCCUAAUCUAUAAGAACGGACAACAACUUCAAUAUAUACACACACGAACGUAGAAAGGGAAGGGAACGCUCAUCAUUCUCUGGCUCUAAGAAGCAGCCGCACCCCUUGUCUCUUUGCAAAAAUGCCGAAAUCCGGCGAGUCAUCAGCCACAGGCGAUGCUGCUCUAACACCCAGCGUCCCAUCUCCUCUCCAAGCCACCUCUGCCAUCUCUUAACCCAAACUCGCUGCAAUUCCUCCACACCAGCGUUACACCACCAUCAUAACACCAUUCGUCUUCAAAAACAUUCACAAUAUUUGAUCAAGCAGUCACUCUUCUUAAUCACCAACCAAUUUGUCAUACCUUCAUCACCACUAAAAACUCCAAUAAAAAUAGAGUUUCGUCGCAUGGAGUUUGAUUGAAGUUUCUGUCAGAUUUUUGAAGUUGUAUUUGGAUUUGUUUUCGAUUAGUGUUGGUCAUUUGAGAGUUUGAAGGUGAGUUUGUUGUUGAAGCUCUCCAGUUCGCUGUUUAAGAUCCGAUCCAUGUUUUCGCUUUCCAACAAGAUUUUAACCGGAGUUCGUUGUUGCAUUUUAAUACCUUCGAAGUUGAUGUACCAGAAUUGGAGUUGUUCUUAUUAAUAGUGAAGACAACAUUCUGCUUGAGGUCCAAUUCUUUAGUUCUCUGCUCAAUUUAUCUUAUUUUAAACUUAUGUGUUGUUUGUGGUGAAAUGUUUGUUUGAUCCAUGUUAAUCAUAUGUU
RNAcentral lists this long non-coding RNA (13529 nucleotides) under Nicotiana tabacum (common tobacco). Its description in RNAcentral is "long non-coding RNA (NTAB_LNC007304)". The stretch from base 8735 to 8840 matches the Rfam family "Plant small nucleolar RNA R71". Lineage: Eukaryota; Viridiplantae; Streptophyta; Magnoliopsida; Solanales; Solanaceae. The record is from RNAcentral.